GACGAACGCUGGCGGCGUGCUUAACACAUGCAAGUCGAACGGAAAGGCCCUGCUUUUGUGGGGUGCUCGAGUGGCGAACGGGUGAGUAACACGUGAGUAACCUGCCCUUGACUUUGGGAUAACUUCAGGAAACUGGGGCUAAUACCGGAUAGGAGCUCCUGCUGCAUGGUGGGGGUUGGAAAGUUUCGGCGGUUGGGGAUGGACUCGCGGCUUAUCAGCUUGUUGGUGGGGUAGUGGCUUACCAAGGCUUUGACGGGUAGCCGGCCUGAGAGGGUGACCGGCCACAUUGGGACUGAGAUACGGCCCAGACUCCUACGGGAGGCAGCAGUGGGAAUAUUGCACAAUGGGCGGAAGCCUGAUGCAGCAACGCCGCGUGCGGGAUGACGGCCUUCGGGUUGUAAACCGCUUUCGCCUGUGACGAAGCGUGAGUGACGGUAAUGGGUAAAGAAGCACCGC
Molecule: ribosomal RNA, 456 nt
Filed under: uncultured bacterium
Lineage: Bacteria
Description: bacterial SSU rRNA
Rfam family: Bacterial small subunit ribosomal RNA
Source: RNAcentral